RNAcentral lists this transfer RNA (72 nucleotides) under Ovis aries (sheep). It matches the Rfam family "tRNA". From Rfam's summary of the family: Transfer RNA (tRNA) molecules are approximately 80 nucleotides in length. Their secondary structure includes four short double-helical elements and three loops (D, anti-codon, and T loops). Lineage: Eukaryota; Metazoa; Chordata; Mammalia; Artiodactyla; Bovidae. The record is from Rfam by way of RNAcentral.
UCCCUGGUGGUUAAAUGGUUAGGACUCUGAACUUUUGCUGCCCAGGUCCAAGUUCAACCCUUGGUCAGGGAG